Molecule: unclassified non-coding RNA, 309 nt
Filed under: plant metagenome
Description: partial contains 5.8S ribosomal RNA, internal transcribed spacer 2, and large subunit ribosomal RNA
Rfam family: 5.8S ribosomal RNA (bases 1-104)
Source: RNAcentral
AAAUGCGAUAAGUAGUGUGAAUUGCAGAAUUCAGUGAAUCAUCGAAUCUUUGAACGCACAUUGCGCCCCUUGGUAUUCCAUGGGGCAUGCCUGUUCGAGCGUCAUUUGUACCCUCAAGCUCUGCUUGGUGUUGGGUGUUUGUCCCCGUCUCCGCGCGUGGACUCGCCCCAAAGUGAUUGGCAGCCGGCGCACUGGUCCCGGAGCGCAGCACACGUCGCGCAAACGAGUGCCUUGGUACGGCGGCGUCCAUAAGCCCCUCUCUCACGCUCUUGACCUCGGAUCAGGUAGGGAUACCCGCUGAACUUAAGC